Molecule: transfer RNA, 73 nt
Filed under: Camelus ferus (Wild Bactrian camel)
Lineage: Eukaryota; Metazoa; Chordata; Mammalia; Artiodactyla; Camelidae
Rfam family: tRNA
About the family: Transfer RNA (tRNA) molecules are approximately 80 nucleotides in length. Their secondary structure includes four short double-helical elements and three loops (D, anti-codon, and T loops).
Source: Rfam by way of RNAcentral
AAAGGUGUAGCUCAGUGGUAGAGCACAGUGCUUAGCAUGCACAGGGUCUUGGAUUCAAUCCCCAGAACCUUCC